Molecule: ribosomal RNA, 180 nt
Filed under: uncultured bacterium
Lineage: Bacteria
Description: partial 16S ribosomal RNA
Rfam family: Bacterial small subunit ribosomal RNA
Source: RNAcentral
UGAAGCUGGAAUCGCUAGUAAUCGCAGGUCAGCAUACUGCGGUGAAUACGUUCCCGGGUCUUGUACACACCGCCCGUCACACCAUGGGAGCCGGAAAUGCCCGAAGCCAGUGACCCAACCUUAGGGAGGGAGCUGUCGAAGGUGGAGCCGGUAACUGGGGUGAAGUCGUAACAAGGUAGC